RNAcentral lists this long non-coding RNA (944 nucleotides) under Calidris pugnax (ruff). Its description in RNAcentral is "lncRNA (ENSCPUG00000001167.1)". The record is from RNAcentral. Lineage: Eukaryota; Metazoa; Chordata; Aves; Charadriiformes; Scolopacidae.
CAUGUGCCAGCUGAUAGGGGAGCUGUGACAUACCACACCCCCGUGGCUGGGAAGGGGGUCACAUGGACCCGUCUCAUCCAGAGCACUUUAAAGAAACUGAUAAGCUCUAUCUCGUUUAACUUGGCCUUUGGAAGACACUUGUGGAAAUUUCUGCAAAGGAGGUGACAUCAGUUGUUGUCACAGCUGCUGUCAGUCCUUUGCCACCUACGACCUGGGGAAGACACGAUGGUAGAUACGAUGGCAGACACUGCAGAAAGGUCCUGUGGUGAAGAUGGGUGAGAGGCCUGGCUGAGCAGAGAGAGUUGGGCAGGCUGCAAACAACCUCACCAAACCGACGUGUCCAUCUCCAUCGUGCCCUGCAGCACCACUGCUUCUGGUGCCCAGCUGCACUCCAAUGGGCUUCUGGAUGCUCAGAAACACGAACUAGAGUAAUUUGCCCUAAUAAUUUUCAACUGUGAGUUCCCACAGCAUCUGAAGUUAUGUUUACAAAAAUGUGUACAUAAAGCUACCAGUCUUCAACUGUCCCAGAAGAAAAGUCAUGUGUUGAUGUAGGAGUGACUACUGAUGAAGAAUGCUUCAAUUUAUUGGAAACUGGAUGUAAAACAUCUUCAGAAAGGUGUUUUUUCUGCACGCUUAGAACCAGGCCCAAUGCACCUUUAAUUUAAGCUUUACAUUCGCAACAAAUUAAAAAUAUCAUCAGAACUGCAAAGGUAACAACUCCUCUGAAAGAUGGGGUCAGCUGAAAAAAGGCAGCAGUGAGUAAGAGAAGUCUGGGACAUCUUCACGUCAGGCAUUUAAUAAGGAAGAGGAAACAGCACAGGUACACUGUUUCUCAGAAAUACGAGAAGACACCAGGCUCAGUUGCAGUCCUAAACACACUUUUGCACCGAUUUCCCCAGUUUCUUGGCUGCGUAUUUAAGAGUACGUGGAAAGAUGCUGUAUGA